ACAGACUGUAGCUUAAACAAAGCCCUUCGCUUACACCGAAACAAUGCCUAAUAAACCUGGGCCGCUCUG
Molecule: transfer RNA, 69 nt
Filed under: Leptobrachium hasseltii (Java spadefoot toad)
Lineage: Eukaryota; Metazoa; Chordata; Amphibia; Anura; Megophryidae
Description: tRNA-Val
Source: RNAcentral